RNAcentral lists this ribosomal RNA (251 nucleotides) under uncultured bacterium. Its description in RNAcentral is "partial 16S ribosomal RNA". It matches the Rfam family "Bacterial small subunit ribosomal RNA", at positions 87 to 339 of the family's 1533-position model. The record is from RNAcentral.
AAAGGGCAGUAGCGGAUGGGUGAGUAACGUGUGAGCAAUCUGCCUUUGACAGAGGAAUAACUCCGGGAAACCGUAGCUAAUACCUCAUAACACUACCGAGGGCAUCCAAGGAUAGUCAAAGAUUUAUCGGUCAAAGAUGAGCUCGCAUCCGAUUAGCUAGUUGGAAGGGUAACGGCCUACCAAGGCGACGAUCGGUAGCUGGACUGAGAGGUCGAACAGCCACAUUGGGACUGAGACACGGCCCAGACUCC